UUGGUUGUAGCUGGUCUAUUUAUUUAGGCAUGUAAACACCUCCCUCUUUCAUCCCACACACACCUGUGAACUUGUGAGACAGUUGGGGAAUUUAUUUGUUAUUUUUUGUAAUAAAAUGAUAAGUAAUAAAAUGAACCCUUCUGUCUACUCAACUCAUAUAAAAUCAAUUUAUCAUAAAUGAAUGUAAUGGAUGUAACACAUCUCAUACUAAGUUUCAACAACGGAUCUCUUGGCUCUCGCAUCGAUGAAGAACUGAAUGUAAUGCGAUAAGUAAUGUGAAUUGCAGAAUUCAGUGAAUCAUCGAAUCUUUGAACGCACCUUGCGCUCCUUGGUAUUCCUUGGAGCAUGCCUGUUUGGAGCAUCGUGAAAUCUUCAAAAUCAAUCUUUUUGUUAACUCAAUUAAUUUGAUUUUGGUAUUGGAGGUCUUUUGCAGCUUCACACCUGCUCCUCUUUGUGUAUUAGCUGGAUCUCAGUGUUAUGCUUGGUUCCACUCAGCGUGAUAAAUUAUCUAUCGCUGAGGACACUGUAAAAAGUGGCCAAGGUAAAUGCAGAUGAACCAAUGCAAAUAGUCCAUUGACUUGGACACUAUUAUUAUGAUCUGAUCUCAAAUCAGGUAGGACUACCCGCUGAACUU
RNAcentral lists this ribosomal RNA (634 nucleotides) under Rhizoctonia solani AG-3. Its description in RNAcentral is "eukaryotic LSU rRNA". The stretch from base 210 to 364 matches the Rfam family "5.8S ribosomal RNA". The record is from RNAcentral. Lineage: Eukaryota; Fungi; Basidiomycota; Agaricomycetes; Cantharellales; Ceratobasidiaceae.